CGCGCUGAUUGCCUCGAACUUGAUUUUUAUAUAUUUUAUCUGUUGGGUCGAGUGGACCGUAAUAUCAUUUUUGUUAUCCAUUACGUUACAAUUUAUUACCAGCACAGCAAUCUGAAUACCGUGUAUUUUUAUUUGUUCCUUUAUUAUCAUAAUUUUAAGCUACACACCUACAAGUAUACACACAUACACACCCGCUGCACACUAGCACCCGAGGGUUUUGCUCGUUGACCCCGUCUUCUUCCUUUGAGUCGCUAUUUACACAUAUUCACAACAGAUCGAUAGGGAAGUCGGUGGGCAGCGGUGUUGGAUAUUCAGAUUGGCGACCGGGCACGCUUAUUAUUAUUGUAUGCUCCUGGACCGUACAGUCAUCUUACUC
This is a non-coding RNA of Cinara cedri, 376 nucleotides long. The record is from the annotation of a GenBank genome assembly. Lineage: Eukaryota; Metazoa; Arthropoda; Insecta; Hemiptera; Aphididae.